RNAcentral lists this transfer RNA (73 nucleotides) under Chloroflexota bacterium. RNAcentral's name for it is "Chloroflexi bacterium tRNA-Asn". It matches the Rfam family "tRNA". Rfam says of the family: Transfer RNA (tRNA) molecules are approximately 80 nucleotides in length. The record is from RNAcentral. RNAcentral also lists the same sequence under 4 other names. Lineage: Bacteria; Bacillati; Chloroflexota.
UCCUCGAUAGCUCAAUGGGUAGAGCAACCGGCUGUUAACCGGUAGGUUACAGGUUCGAGCCCUGUUCGAGGAG